GACGAACGCUGGCGGCGUGCCUAAUACAUGCAAGUAGAACGCUGAAGCGAGGAGCUUGCUCUUCUUGGAUGAGUUGCGAACGGGUGAGUAACGCGUAGGUAACCUGCCUUGUAGCGGGGGAUAACUAUUGGAAACGAUAGCUAAUACCGCAUAACAAUGGAUGACACAUGUCAUUUAUUUGAAAGGGGCAAUUGCUCCACUACAAGAUGGACCUGCGUUGUAUUAGCUAGUAGGUGAGGUAACGGCUCACCUAGGCGACGAUACAUAGCCGACCUGAGAGGGUGAUCGGACAAACUGGGACUGAGACACGGCCCAGACUCCUACGGGAGGCAGCAGGAGGGAAUCUUCGGCAAUGGGGGCAACCCUGACCGAGCAACGCCGCGUGAGUGAAGAAGGUUUUCGGAUCGUAAAGCUCUGUUGUAAGUCAAGAACGAGUGUGAGAGUGGAAAGUUCACACUGUGACGGUAGCUUACCAGAAAGGGACGGCUAACUACGUG
This 497-nucleotide ribosomal RNA is filed under the name uncultured bacterium. RNAcentral's name for it is "partial 16S ribosomal RNA". It matches the Rfam family "Bacterial small subunit ribosomal RNA", at positions 28 to 507 of the family's 1533-position model. The record is from RNAcentral.